This 69-nucleotide transfer RNA is filed under the name Rhodeus uyekii. RNAcentral describes it as "tRNA-Cys". It matches the Rfam family "tRNA". Rfam says of the family: Transfer RNA (tRNA) molecules are approximately 80 nucleotides in length. Their secondary structure includes four short double-helical elements and three loops (D, anti-codon, and T loops). The record is from RNAcentral. Lineage: Eukaryota; Metazoa; Chordata; Actinopteri; Cypriniformes; Acheilognathidae.
AGCCCCGUGGUGAAAAUAUCAUGUCGGAUUGCAAAUCCUAAGAUGCAGACUAAUACCCUGCCGGGGCUU